RNAcentral lists this ribosomal RNA (597 nucleotides) under uncultured bacterium. RNAcentral describes it as "bacterial SSU rRNA". It matches the Rfam family "Bacterial small subunit ribosomal RNA", at positions 338 to 949 of the family's 1533-position model. The record is from RNAcentral.
CCUACGGGAGGCAGCAGUGAGGAAUAUUGCACAAUGGGCGAAAGCCUGAUGCAGCGACGCCGCGUGGGUGAAGAAGGUUUUCGGAUCGUAAAACCCUUUUCUGUGUGACGAGCAAGGACGGUAGCACAGGAAUAAGUCUCGGCUAACUACGUGCCAGCAGCCGCGGUAAAACGUAGGAGACAAACGUUAUCCGGAGUUACUGGGCGUAAAGGGCGUGUAGGUGGUUUUUGUAAGUCUGGCGUGAAAUAUCUCGGCUUAACCGGGGACAGGUCGUCGGAUACUGCAGAACUAGAGGACGGUAGAGGCGUGUGGAAUUCCGGGUGUAGUGGUGAAAUGCGUAGAGAUCCGGAGGAACACCAGUGGCGAAGGCGACACGCUGGGCCGUACCUGACACUGAGGCGCGAUAGCAUGGGGAGCAAACAGGAUUAGAAACCCUGGUAGUCCAUGCCGUAAACGAUGCUAGCUGGGUGUUCAGUGGGGGAAACCCCACGGGGUACCGAAGUCAACACGGUAAGCUAGCCGCCUGGGGAGUACGGUCGCAAGAUUAAACUCAAAGGAAUUGACGGCUGAGACNGCGACGACGACGACGAGGAGUAG